AACGAACGCUGGCGGCAUGCCUAACACAUGCAAGUCGAACGAAGCCUUCGGGCUUAGUGGCGCACGGGUGCGUAACGCGUGGGAAUCUGCCCUUGGGUUCGGAAUAACAGUUAGAAAUGACUGCUAAUACCGAAUGAUGUCUUCGGACCAAAGAUUUAUCGCCCAAGGAUGAGCCCGCGUCGGAUUAGCUAGUUGGUGAGGUAAAGGCUCACCAAGGCGACGAUCCGUAGCUGGUCUGAGAGGAUGAUCAGCCACACUGGGACUGAGACACGGCCCAGACUCCUACGGAGCAGCAGUGGGAAUAUUGGACAAUGGCGAAAGCCUGA
Molecule: ribosomal RNA, 326 nt
Filed under: uncultured bacterium
Lineage: Bacteria
Description: bacterial SSU rRNA
Rfam family: Bacterial small subunit ribosomal RNA
Source: RNAcentral